Molecule: ribosomal RNA, 468 nt
Filed under: uncultured bacterium
Lineage: Bacteria
Description: partial 16S ribosomal RNA
Rfam family: Bacterial small subunit ribosomal RNA (bases 49-468)
Source: RNAcentral
GGGGGGGGGGGGGGGGGGGGGGGGGGGGGGGGGGGGGGGGGGGGAGGGCCGGGGUGUGGGGGGGGGGCGAGGGGGGAACGGGUGGGGAAGCCGGGGGUGAGCUGCCCGUGGCUUGGGGAUAACCUCAGGAAACUGGGGCUAGUACCGGAUAUGAGCGCCGGCUGCAGGGUUGGGGCUGGACAGUUUCGGCGGUUGGUGAUGGACUCUCGGCUUCUCAGCUUGUUGGUGGGGUAGUGGCUUACCAAGGCUUUGACGGGUAGCCGGCCUGAGAGGGUGACCGGCCACAUUGGGACUGAGAUACGGCCCAGACUCCUACGGGAGGCAGCAGUGGGGAAUAUUGCACAAUGGGCGGAAGCCUGAUGCAGCAACGCCGCGUGCGGAAUGACGGCCUUCGGGUUGUAAACCGCUUUCGCCUGUGACGAAGCGUGAGUGACGGUAAUGGGUAAAGAAGCACCGGCUAACUACGUG